AGUCAAGUAAUUAAGUGCAUGUGGUGGAUGCCUUGGCAGUCAGAGGCGAUGAAAGACGUGAUAGCCUGCGAAAAGCUCCGGGGAGGCGGCAAAUAUCCUUUGAUCCGGAGAUGUCUGAAUGGGGGAACCCACCUACUUUAAGGUAGGUAUUGCAACAUGAAUACAUAGUGUUGCAAGGCGAACGAGGGGAAGUGAAACAUCUCAGUACCCUUAGGAAAAGAAAUCAAUUGAGAUUCCCUCAGUAGCGGCGAGCGAACGGGGAUCAGCCCAUUAAGUUAUGUGUGUUUUAGUGGAACGCUCUGGGAAGUGCGAACGUAGAGGGUGAUAUUCCCGUACACGAAAGGGCACACAUAAUGAUGACGAGUAGGGCGAGGCACGUGAAACCUUGUCUGAAUAUGGGGGGACCAUCCUCCAAGGCUAAAUACUCCUGACUGACCGAUAGUGAACCAGUACCGUGAGGGAAAGGCGAAAAGAACCCCUGUGAGGGGAGUGAAAUAGAUCCUGAAACCGCAUGCAUACAAGCAGUGGGAGCACCUUCGUGGUGUGACUGCGUACCUUUUGUAUAAUGGGUCAGCGACUUAUAUUCAGUAGCAAGGUUAACCGUAUAGGGGAGCCGUAGAGAAAUCGAGUCUUAAUAGGGCGUUUAGUUGCUGGGUAUAGACCCGAAACCAGGCGAUCUAUCCAUGAGCAGGUUGAAGGUUGGGUAACACUAACUGGAGGACCGAACCCACUGUCGUUGAAAAGCCAGGGGAUGACUUGUGGAUAGGGGUGAAAGGCUAAUCAAGCCUGGUGAUAGCUGGUUCUCCCCGAAAGCUAUUUAGGUAGCGCCUCGGACGAAUACCAUAGGGGGUAGAGCACUGUUUCGGCUAGGGGGUCAUCCCGACUUACCAAACCGAUGCAAACUCCGAAUACCUAUGAGUACUAUCCGGGAGACAGACUGCGGGUGCUAACGUCCGUAGUCAAGAGGAAAACAAUCCAGACCGCCAGCUAAGGCCCCAAAAUCAUAGUUAAGUGGGAAACGAUGUGGGAAGGCAUAGACAGCUAGGAGGUUGGCUUAGAAGCAGCCACCCUUUAAAGAAAGCGUAAUAGCUCACUAGUCGAGUCGGCCUGCGCGGAAGAUGUAACGGGGCUAAAACUAUGUGCCGAAGCUGCGGAUGUAUACUUUGUAUACGUGGUAGGGGAGCGUUCUGUAAGCCGAUGAAGGUGUGUUGAGAAGCAUGCUGGAGGUAUCAGAAGUGCGAAUGCUGACGUGAGUAACGACAAAACGGGUGAAAAACCCGUUCGCCGAAAGACCAAGGGUUCCAGUCCAACGUUAAUCGGGGCUGGGUGAGUCGACCCCUAAGGCGAGGCCGAAAGGCGUAGUCGAUGGGAAAAUGGUUAAUAUUCCAUUACUUCUGUGUAAUGCGAUGAGAGGACGGAGAAGGCUAAAUCAGCCUGGCGUUGGUUGUCCAGGUGAAAGGAUGUAGGCAUGUAUCUUAGGCAAAUCCGGGGUACUCUAUGCUGAGAUCUGAUAGCAAGCUGUACUUGUACAGCGAAGUGGUUGAUGCCAUGCUUCCAGGAAAAGUCUCUAAGCUUCAGUUACACAGGAAUCGUACCCGAAACCGACACAGGUGGUCAGGUCGAGUAGACCAAGGCGCUUGAGAGAACUCUGCUGAAGGAACUAGGCAAAAUGGUACCGUAACUUCGGGAGAAGGUACGCUGUUGUUGGUGAUGGAACUCGCUUCCUGAGCUGACGACAGCCGCAGAAACCAGGCCGCUGCAACUGUUUAUUAAAAACAUAGCACUCUGCAAACACGAAAGUGGACGUAUAGGGUGUGAUGCCUGCCCGGUGCUGGAAGGUUAAUUGAUGGGGUUAGCGUAAGCGAAGCUCUUGAUCGAAGCCCCAGUAAACGGCGGCCGUAACUAUAACGGUCCUAAGGUAGCGAAAUUCCUUGUCGGGUAAGUUCCGACCUGCACGAAUGGCAUAAUGAUGGCGGCGCUGUCUCCAGCAGAGGCUCAGUGAAAUCGAAAUCGCUGUGAAGAUGCAGUGUACCCGCGGCUAGACGGAAAGACCCCGUGAACCUUUACUGCAGCUUGACACUGAACUUUGACCUUACUUGUGUAGGAUAGGUGGGAGGCUUUGAAGCUGGAACGCUAGUUCCAGUGGAGCCGUCCUUGAAAUACCACCCCUGGUAAUGUUGAGGUUCUAACUCUGUCCCGUGAUCCGGGACGAGGACCGUGUCUGGUGGGUAGUUUGACUGGGGCGGUCUCCUCCUAAAGAGUAACGGAGGAGUACGAAGGUGCGCUCAGCGUGGUCGGAAAUCACGCGUAGAGUAUAAAGGCAAAAGCGCGCUUAACUGCGAGACCCACAAGUCGAGCAGGUACGAAAGUAGGUCUUAGUGAUCCGGUGGUUCUGUAUGGAAGGGCCAUCGCUCAACGGAUAAAAGGUACUCUGGGGAUAACAGGCUGAUACCGCCCAAGAGUUCAUAUCGACGGCGGUGUUUGGCACCUCGAUGUCGGCUCAUCUCAUCCUGGGGCUGAAGCAGGUCCCAAGGGUAUGGCUGUUCGCCAUUUAAAGAGGUACGCGAGCUGGGUUUAGAACGUCGUGAGACAGUUCGGUCCCUAUCUACCGUGGGCGCUGGAAAUUUGAGAGGAUCUGCUCCUAGUACGAGAGGACCAGAGUGGACGAACCUCUGGUGUACCGGUUGUGACGCCAGUCGCAUCGCCGGGUAGCUAUGUUCGGAAGGGAUAACCGCUGAAAGCAUCUAAGCGGGAAGCCUACCUCAAGAUAAGAUUUCCCUAGGACUUUAUGUCCUCUAAAGAGCCGUUCGAGACUAGGACGUUGAUAGGUUGGAUGUGGAAGCAUAGUGAUAUGUGAAGCUGACCAAUACUAAUUGCUCGUGAGGCUUGACUAU
This 2894-nucleotide ribosomal RNA is filed under the name Acinetobacter baumannii. RNAcentral's name for it is "23S ribosomal RNA". It matches the Rfam family "Bacterial large subunit ribosomal RNA". Lineage: Bacteria; Pseudomonadati; Pseudomonadota; Gammaproteobacteria; Moraxellales; Moraxellaceae. The record is from RNAcentral.